RNAcentral lists this long non-coding RNA (1059 nucleotides) under Salmo salar (Atlantic salmon). RNAcentral's name for it is "lncRNA (ENSSSAG00000113787.1)". The record is from RNAcentral. Lineage: Eukaryota; Metazoa; Chordata; Actinopteri; Salmoniformes; Salmonidae.
AUCGUACAAAGGGUUUCAUUACAAACAUUAGCACAUUCAUAUCACGUAGUACUUGGAUGUCCUAAGAUCCACCUGUGCCCUGGGCAGCUGUGAUAGAGUGAUAAAGUGAGUGGGACCUCAGCCCAGCGUGUGUCUGUGUGUUCCUGCUCACAAGGAGAGCGCUGGGAGAGAGCACAGCGUACUCUGCCUGGGAGGACUCCUGUGGACUAGGAGUGGUGUAGAAGGAGUGGUUGCUCUUCUCUUGUACUGUAGCCAUGCAGUUUUUUAUCUGGAUACUGGGCUGCUUAAUGCUGGAUUCUUUCCUGCUUGGACUAUGCGUGGAGGGUCGAUGGAGAGCAUCUCACAUGGAUCCCUCCCUCCAAGAAGGCAACUCUCCUAUCUCCGAGAGCUCAGCCACCCUACAACAAGGGAAUGGGCUUGUGGUAGUUCAUGAUGCGAAUCCCUCUAUCCUUACCUUUCACCACACUGGUAUAGGCGGCCAUGACAGCAAGUACUCCUUUACAGUCACAGCCUUGGAUGAGAACAUCACCACAUAGAAUCAAAGACAUGGACAUAGACUGAUUCAUGCACUCUACAAAAUGACAGGAGAGGAAAUAAGCAUUUCAAAAAGAUGUGGCAUUAAUAUGGUAUGUGCAGGCAGAAAAGGUCCUCUUGGGUUUAAAGGAGACAAGGGUGUCAGAGGGCAGGAGGUCAGGAGAGGUGAUACAGGCUUCCCAGGUCCUCCAGGACUCCCCACCCUCUACCUUUGGAGGAACUCCCAGGAGGACAGGACUUCCUUCAGGUGACUACAGGCCCAGAGCUGUGUGAAUUUUCCACAGCUGUUGCAGGCAGCUGGGAGCACACUGGGGCCGGUGAGAGAUUUCGAUUUUACUUUGAGCAAACAGUUUAUUUGUUUAUUUGGAUACCCAUUAGCUUUUGCAGAAGCAGCAGCUACUCUUCCUGGGGUCCACAAAAAAUCACAAAACUUGACAAGUAACUAAGCACUGAUACACACAUUUAAAAUACAACAAUAUACAAACAAUAAAAAUACAUAAAAAUUGUGUGUCAGUAUGUCUGUGU